CUCAGAUUGAACGCUGGCGGCAGGCCUAACACAUGCAAGUCGAACGGUAGCACAGAGAGCUUGCUCUCGGGUGACGAGUGGCGGACGGGUGAGUAAUGUCUGGGAAACUGCCUGAUGGAGGGGGAUAACUACUGGAAACGGUAGCUAAUACCGCAUAACGUCGCAAGACCAAAGAGGGGGACCUUCGGGCCUCUUGCCAUCAGAUGUGCCCAGAUGGGAUUAGCUAGUAGGUGGGGUAACGGCUCACCUAGGCGACGAUCCCUAGCUGGUCUGAGAGGAUGACCAGCCACACUGGAACUGAGACACGGUCCAGACUCCUACGGGAGGCAGCAGUGGGGAAUAUUGCACAAUGGGCGCAAGCCUGAUGCAGCCAUGCCGCGUGUAUGAAGAAGGCCUUCGGGUUGUAAAGUACUUUCAGCGGGGAGGAAGGUGUUGUGGUUAAUAACCACAGCAAUUGACGUUACCCGCAGAAGAAGCACCGGCUAACUCCGUGCCAGCAGCCGCGGUAAUACGGAGGGUGCAAGCGUUAAUCGGAAUUACUGGGCGUAAAGCGCACGCAGGCGGUCUGUCAAGUCGGAUGUGAAAUCCCCGGGCUCAACCUGGGAACUGCAUUCGAAACUGGCAGGCUAGAGUCUUGUAGAGGGGGGUAGAAUUCCAGGUGUAGCGGUGAAAUGCGUAGAGAUCUGGAGGAAUACCGGUGGCGAAGGCGGCCCCCUGGACAAAGACUGACGCUCAGGUGCGAAAGCGUGGGGAGCAAACAGGAUUAGAUACCCUGGUAGUCCACGCCGUAAACGAUGUCGAUUUGGAGGUUGUGCCCUUGAGGCGUGGCUUCCGGAGCUAACGCGUUAAAUCGACCGCCUGGGGAGUACGGCCGCAAGGUUAAAACUCAAAUGAAUUGACGGGGGCCCGCACAAGCGGUGGAGCAUGUGGUUUAAUUCGAUGCAACGCGAAGAACCUUACCUGGUCUUGACAUCCACAGAACUUUCCAGAGAUGGAUUGGUGCCUUCGGGAACUGUGAGACAGGUGCUGCAUGGCUGUCGUCAGCUCGUGUUGUGAAAUGUUGGGUUAAGUCCCGCAACGAGCGCAACCCUUAUCCUUUGUUGCCAGCGGUUAGGCCGGGAACUCAAAGGAGACUGCCAGUGAUAAACUGGAGGAAGGUGGGGAUGACGUCAAGUCAUCAUGGCCCUUACGACCAGGGCUACACACGUGCUACAAUGGCGCAUACAAAGAGAAGCGACCUCGCGAGAGCAAGCGGACCUCAUAAAGUGCGUCGUAGUCCGGAUUGGAGUCUGCAACUCGACUCCAUGAAGUCGGAAUCGCUAGUAAUCGUAGAUCAGAAUGCUACGGUGAAUACGUUCCCGGGCCUUGUACACACCGCCCGUCACACCAUGGGAGUGGGUUGCAAAAGAAGUAGGUAGCUUAACCUUCGGGAGGGCGCUUACCACUUUGUGAUUCAUGACUGGGGUGAGCGA
RNAcentral lists this ribosomal RNA (1472 nucleotides) under Enterobacter cloacae. RNAcentral describes it as "bacterial SSU rRNA". It matches the Rfam family "Bacterial small subunit ribosomal RNA". Lineage: Bacteria; Pseudomonadati; Pseudomonadota; Gammaproteobacteria; Enterobacterales; Enterobacteriaceae. The record is from RNAcentral.